This is a long non-coding RNA of Bos taurus (domestic cattle), 650 nucleotides long. The record is from Ensembl. Lineage: Eukaryota; Metazoa; Chordata; Mammalia; Artiodactyla; Bovidae.
GGAGAUAAUGCCUAGAGAACAGCCAGCAUGUAUGUGUGGAGUUCACCUCCCACCACAGAGGGGACCCACCUUCCCGGGCAGCUGCAUUUCUCUGUUCUCCCCUGGAUGAGCACUGGACUUGGAGGCUGGAGACUUAGGUCAAGGCUUACCAGGCCACAGACAGGUACAUGGAAACUCAGGAAGGGCAGGAGGCUCACUCAAGCUGCUCUAGGCAGAAAGUAAUGCCAUCAUAUUCCACUUCGGUGGCCCUGACACCCUGCUGCCUGCAAAUACAGACAACAAAAGGAAGAGGGAGAUAAAGGAUGAGCAGUUUUGGAGGCCAGAAGACCCAAAUUGAGGUGUUGGCAGGCUGCCUCCUUUGGGGGCUCUCGGAGCAUCUGUUCCUGGCCUCUCCCGGCUUCUGGUGGCUGCUGGUGUGACUUGCCCUGUGGCUGCAUCACUUCAGUCUCUAGUAAUACUGCCAUCUCCUCUGUGCAUCUAAUGUCCCAUGGCCUUGUCCCAGCUGAGGCCGUGCUGAACAGGGCAGCUCCCAGUCUGUCCACCGCUGACUGCAGGUACCUGUGCGGAUGGACCUGGCUGAGAUCGACCAGACUCACCCAGAUCAGCAGAGCCACUCAGCUUACCUGAAUACUCUUGAGCUAAAUUAAUAC